Molecule: ribosomal RNA, 424 nt
Filed under: uncultured bacterium
Lineage: Bacteria
Description: bacterial SSU rRNA
Rfam family: Bacterial small subunit ribosomal RNA
Source: RNAcentral
UGGGGAAUUUUGCGCAAUGGGGGAAACCCUGACGCAGCAACGCCGCGUGGAGGAUGAAGUCCCUUGGGACGUAAACUCCUUUCGACCGGGAAGAUUAUGACGGUACCGGAAGAAGAAGCCCCGGCUAACUUCGUGCCAGCAGCCGCGGUAAUACGAGGGGGGCAAGCGUUGUUCGGAAUUAUUGGGCGUAAAGGGUGCGUAGGCGGUUCGGUAAGUCUUAUGUGAAAUCUUCGGGCUCAACUCGAAGUCUGCAUGAGAAACUGCCGGGCUUGAGUGUGGGAGAGGUGAGUGGAAUUUCCGGUGUAGCGGUGAAAUGCGUAGAUAUCGGAAGGAACACCUGUGGCGAAAGCGGCUCACUGGACCAUAACUGACGCUGAUGCACGAAAGCUAGGGGAGCAAACAGGAUUAGAUACCCCCGUAGUCC